This 180-nucleotide unclassified non-coding RNA is filed under the name uncultured fungus. RNAcentral describes it as "sequence contains ITS1, 5.8S rRNA gene". Lineage: Eukaryota; Fungi. The record is from RNAcentral.
AAGAGUUAUGUAUCUUCGGGUACUAUCUCCAACCAAUUGUGAACUUACUUUGUUGCCUCGACAUCCGAUAGGUACCCAAUCGGUGUACCUAUCCUUCGGUUACUUUGUACCUGAAGAGUGAUGUCUGAGGAUUUUAAACUUCUUUUAAUUAAGUUUUCUGAGUUAAACAAAAUAAAAACA